Non-coding RNA from Glycine soja, 136 nucleotides. The record is from Rfam. NCBI's taxonomy places the organism in Eukaryota, Viridiplantae, Streptophyta, Magnoliopsida, Fabales, Fabaceae.
UCUGACCUAGAGGAUACAUAGUCCUCGGGUCUCAUUAGUUAUUUUUCUUACAUCUCCGUCCCCCAAAGCCCACGUAUCAUAUAUACCUCCAAAAUAAAGAGCCUUGAAUACUAGAAGAAAUGCACCUAUACCUAAG